AUACGGAGGGUCCGAGCGUUAAUCGGAAUUACUGGGCGUAAAGCGCGCGUAGGCGGCUAUAUAAGUCAGAUGUUAAAUCCCUGGGCUCAACCUAGGAACUGCAUUUGAAACUGUAUGGCUAGAGUAUGGUAGAGGUGAGUGGAAUUUCAGGUGUAGCGGUGAAAUGCGUAGAGAUCUGAAGGAACAUCAGUGGCGAAGGCGAAUCACUGGGCCAUUACUGACGCUGAGGUGCGAAAGCGUGGGUAGCAAACAGGAUUAGAAACCCUUGUAGUCC
RNAcentral lists this ribosomal RNA (274 nucleotides) under uncultured bacterium. RNAcentral describes it as "partial 16S ribosomal RNA". It matches the Rfam family "Bacterial small subunit ribosomal RNA", at positions 523 to 796 of the family's 1533-position model. The record is from RNAcentral.